RNAcentral lists this ribosomal RNA (1427 nucleotides) under uncultured organism. RNAcentral describes it as "16S ribosomal RNA". It matches the Rfam family "Bacterial small subunit ribosomal RNA". The record is from RNAcentral.
GCGGCGUGCUUAACACAUGCAAGUCGAACGGAAAGGCCCUGCUUUUGUGGGGUGCUCGAGUGGCGAACGGGUGAGUAACACGUGAGUAACCUGCCCUUGACUUUGGGAUAACUUCAGGAAACUGGGGCUAAUACCGGAUAGGAGCUCCUGCUGCAUGGUGGGGGUUGGAAAGUUUCGGCGGUUGGGGAUGGACUCGCGGCUUAUCAGCUUGUUGGUGGGGUAGUGGCUUACCAAGGCUUUGACGGGUAGCCGGCCUGAGAGGGUGACCGGCCACAUUGGGACUGAGAUACGGCCCAGACUCCUACGGGAGGCAGCAGUGGGGAAUAUUGCACAAUGGGCGGAAGCCUGAUGCAGCAACGCCGCGUGCGGGAUGACGGCCUUCGGGUUGUAAACCGCUUUCGCCUGUGACGAAGCGUGAGUGACGGUAAUGGGUAAAGAAGCACCGGCUAACUACGUGCCAGCAGCCGCGGUGAUACGUAGGGUGCGAGCGUUGUCCGGAUUUAUUGGGCGUAAAGGGCUCGUAGGUGGUUGAUCGCGUCGGAAGUGUAAUCUUGGGGCUUAACCCUGAGCGUGCUUUCGAUACGGGUUGACUUGAGGAAGGUAGGGGAGAAUGGAAUUCCUGGUGGAGCGGUGGAAUGCGCAGAUAUCAGGAGGAACACCAGUGGCGAAGGCGGUUCUCUGGGCCUUUCCUGACGCUGAGGAGCGAAAGCGUGGGGAGCGAACAGGCUUAGAUACCCUGGUAGUCCACGCUGUAAACGGUGGGUACUAGGUGUGGGGUUCAUUCCACGGGUUCCGUGCCGUAGCUAACGCUUUAAGUACCCCGCCUGGGGAGUACGGCCGCAAGGCUAAAACUCAAAGGAAUUGACGGGGCCCCGCACAAGCGGCGGAGCAUGCGGAUUAAUUCGAUGCAACGCGUAGAACCUUACCUGGGUUUGACAUGGAUCGGGAGUGCUCAGAGAUGGGUGUGCCUCUUUUGGGGUCGGUUCACAGGUGGUGCAUGCCUGUCGUCAGCUCGUGUCGUGAGAUGUUGGGUUAAGUCCCGCAACGAGCGCAACCCUUGUUCACUGUUGCCAGCACGUUAUGGUGGGGACUCAGUGGAGACCGCCGGGGUCAACUCGGAGGAAGGUGGGGAUGACGUCAAGUCCUCAUGCCCCUUAUGUCCAGGGCUUCACGCAUGCUACAAUGGCUGGUACAGAGAGUGGCGAGCCUGUGAGGGUGAGCGAAUCUCGGAAAGCCGGUCUCAGUUCGGAUUGGGGUCUGCAACUCGACCUCAUGAAGUCGGAGUCGCUAGUAAUCGCAGAUCAGCAACGCUGCGGUGAAUACGUUCCCGGGGCUUGUACACACCGCCCGUCAAGUCAUGAAAGUUGGUAACACCCGAAGCCGGUGGCCUAACCGUUGUGGGGGAGCCGUCGAAGGUGGGACUGGUG